GACGAACGCUGGCGGCGUGCUUAACACAUGCAAGUCGAACGGAAAGGCCCUGCUUUUGUGGGGUGCUCGAGUGGCGAACGGGUGAGUAACACGUGAGUAACCUGCCCUUGACUUUGGGAUAACUUCAGGAAACUGGGGCUAAUACCGGAUAGGAGCUCCUGCUGCAUGGUGGGGGUUGGAAAGUUUCGGCGGUUGGGGAUGGACUCGCGGCUUAUCAGCUUGUUGGUGGGGUAGUGGCUUACCAAGGCUUUGACGGGUAGCCGGCCUGAGAGGGUGACCGGCCACAGUGGGACUGAGAUACGGCCCAGACUCCUACGGGAGGCAGCAGUGGAGAAUAUUGCACAAUGGGCGGAAGCCUGAUGCAGCAACGCCGCGUGCGGGAUGACGGCCUUCGGGUUGUAAACCGCUUUCGCCUGUGACGAAGCGUGAGUGACGGUAAUGGGUAAAGAAGCACCGGCUAACUACGC
RNAcentral lists this ribosomal RNA (467 nucleotides) under uncultured bacterium. RNAcentral's name for it is "partial 16S ribosomal RNA". It matches the Rfam family "Bacterial small subunit ribosomal RNA", at positions 28 to 506 of the family's 1533-position model. The record is from RNAcentral.